Molecule: long non-coding RNA, 612 nt
Organism: Amphiprion ocellaris (clown anemonefish)
Lineage: Eukaryota; Metazoa; Chordata; Actinopteri; Pomacentridae
Source: Ensembl
GGAAAAAGACUUUAUUGAAGACUACAAUGAGAAAAACUAGCAGACGGCUGCAUUCAAGGUGAGCUCUGAACAUUUGAUCUGGAACAGGAAUUCAAUAACAGCAGCAUGAGCUUCAUUUCAGUCUGUAGCUGCUGAAUUCAUGGAUGAAUCAUCUGGCACUAGAGAGGAAGACCAUCAAACAUCCACGUCAGCUGAUGGAGGUCCAAGAGUCUCACCCAACAAACAACCUACAGAGUGAAGACCUCUAACCUGAUUGGACGGCCUCCUAUUCAGCCACGUGCUGUUAGAUUGUUCCAGAUAAGACAAGUACAAGAUUCUUCAGAGCCGUUCUACCACGAGCCUGACAGGAAGAACUCCAACAGCUACUGAAUGUUCCUGUGGUCCCCUCAAGGCUACAGGAGGAGCCCUAUGAGGACGAGCCGGUCCACCUGAUGGCAGCCAGUCGCUGCGGUUCAAAGCCAACACCGACUACGUGGACUUCUACUGGACCACAUGGAGACCUUCAGACCAGACCAACAAGAUCACCGACUCCCCAACAUUUUCCAAGUGACCACAUGGGUGGAGCCAAGGCGGAGUCUGGGUGGAGUCAGGGCGGAGAGUAGGCGGGGAGGU